This 400-nucleotide long non-coding RNA is filed under the name Trifolium pratense (red clover). RNAcentral describes it as "long non-coding RNA (TPRA_LNC007087)". Lineage: Eukaryota; Viridiplantae; Streptophyta; Magnoliopsida; Fabales; Fabaceae. The record is from RNAcentral.
UCCACGGAGAAAUGCUUCCGCUUAAGAGAUUUAAUCGAAGAACUAAUCAAAAGCGGACACCUUCGCAAAUUUAUUGACGACGCCGCCCAAGGGCGAGUUGUCGUGCCAAAAGCUCCCCGGCAGGAGCCACGAGACCCUCCUGGGCCAAACAGAGAGCCUCCCAAGGGGAGGAUCUCCGUAAAUACAAUAGCGGGGGGAUUCUCAGGCGGGGGCGAAUCAAGCUCAGCAAGGAAAAGGUAUGUACGCCGAGCCAUCUCGGAGAUAUACCUCGUAAGUCAACCCCAGCCAUUAGACGUACCGGAUUUGGCAUUCACGGCAAAGGAUGGUUUGGAGGUAGCACCCCACGACGAUGAUCCCUUAGUGAUACAAGUCCAAAUUUUGAACUGUGAUGUGAAAAGAG